AGCUCCAAUAGCGUAUAUUAAAGUUGUUGCGGUUAAAAAGCUCGUAGUUGGAUUUCUGCCGAGGACGACCGGUCCGCCCUCUGGGUUGGUAUCUGGCUCGGCCUGGGCAUCUUCUUGGAGAACGUUCUGCAUUUCAUUAUGUGGGGCGGUAUCCAGGACUUUUACUUUGAGGAAAUUAGAGUGUUUCAAGCAGGCUUUAGCUUUGAAUACUGUAGCAUGGAAUAAUAAUAUAGGACCUCGGUUCUAUUUUGUUGGUUUCUAGAACUGUGGUAAUGAUUAAUAGGGAUAGUUGGGAGAAUUAGAAUUGCGUUGUCAGAGGUGAAAUUCUUGGAUUUACGCAAGACUGACUAAUGCGAAAGCAUUUUCAAGGAUGUUUUCA
RNAcentral lists this ribosomal RNA (379 nucleotides) under uncultured eukaryote. RNAcentral describes it as "SSU rRNA". It matches the Rfam family "Eukaryotic small subunit ribosomal RNA", at positions 587 to 972 of the family's 1831-position model. The record is from RNAcentral.